UAUAAAGCUUUCUCUUGUUUAAUACAAAGUAUUCUUGCAAGCUUCUCUUCUUAGCUUCUCUUAGCUUUGUUGUGGCAAUAUUUCGGGAAAAGGCUGACUUAGCACAUCGCAGGGGCGAAUUGUGACUAAGGCCGCACGGAAGAUAGCUAGGGAGUUAUCUGGUCCGUGACAGUUGGUAUCAGAGCAACGCUACGAAAGGGUUCGUGGGUUAGCUUGGACACAUACACGACAUGGCUAGCGGUGGCGAGGAGCAAGUUCGCAAGGGUCGCGAGGA
Molecule: long non-coding RNA, 274 nt
Filed under: Nicotiana benthamiana
Lineage: Eukaryota; Viridiplantae; Streptophyta; Magnoliopsida; Solanales; Solanaceae
Description: long non-coding RNA (NBEN_LNC039131)
Source: RNAcentral